This 301-nucleotide ribosomal RNA is filed under the name uncultured bacterium. Its description in RNAcentral is "partial 16S ribosomal RNA". It matches the Rfam family "Bacterial small subunit ribosomal RNA", at positions 509 to 807 of the family's 1533-position model. The record is from RNAcentral.
CAGUCGCCACGGGAAAACGGAGGGGGCUAGCGUUGUUCGGAAUUACUGGGCGUAAAGCGUACGUAGGCGGCUUUGUAAGUUAGAGGUGAAAGCCUGGUGCUCAACACCAGAACUGCCUUUAAGACUGCAUCGCUUGAACGUCGGAGAGGUAAGUGGAAUUCCGAGUGUAGAGGUGAAAUUCGUAGAUAUUCGGAAGAACACCAGUGGCGAAGGCGGCUCACUGGCUCAUUCUAGACGCUGAGGUGCGAAAGCGUGGGGAGCAAACAGGAUUAGAUACCCCAGUAGUCCCUGUCUCUUAUAC